UUGGCAGUCUUUGUUAAGCCUCCCUUCCUCUCAGGAAGCACUGCUGCCCAGAGCGUCUGUGCCACAUCCAGAAGGCAAGCACAAACUUGUGGCAAACUCGGGAAUUCUCUAUUAUAAACAUCUAUUGUAUCCUCUCAAGGGAAGAACUACCUCAUGAAGGUAUGAAAUUAAGAGGAAACCAUGGAGAGCCCACCCCUAAAACCUUUCUAUUGUUUAAACUGCCAACUUCUCUCCAGCAGCACUAACAAACAUAGCAUCACUGCCCUCUGCUGGCCCUUUAUGAUUUCAACAUCUCUGGUGACCUCACUUUACAUUCUCAGUAUGGGGGUA
This is a long non-coding RNA of Mastomys coucha (southern multimammate mouse), 330 nucleotides long. RefSeq lists it as uncharacterized. NCBI's taxonomy places the organism in Eukaryota, Metazoa, Chordata, Mammalia, Rodentia, Muridae. The transcript is spliced from 2 exons. The record is from RefSeq and is a predicted model, not a curated record.